Molecule: ribosomal RNA, 700 nt
Filed under: uncultured Alphaproteobacteria bacterium
Lineage: Bacteria; Pseudomonadati; Pseudomonadota; Alphaproteobacteria
Description: bacterial SSU rRNA
Rfam family: Bacterial small subunit ribosomal RNA
Source: RNAcentral
AGCGAACGCUGGCGGCAGGCCUAAUACAUGCAAGUCGAGCGCACCUUCGGGUGAGCGGCGGACGGGUGAGUAACGCGUGGGAACGUGCCCUUUGGUACGGGAUAACUGAGGGAAACUUCAGCUAAUACCGUAUGUGCCCUACGGGGGAAAGAUUUAUCGCCAUUGGAGCGGCCCGCGUUGGAUUAGGUAGUUGGUGAGGUAAAGGCUCACCAAGCCUACGAUCCAUAGCUGGUCUGAGAGGAUGAUCAGCCACACUGGGACUGAGACACGGCCCAGACUCCUACGGGAGGCAGCAGUAGGGAAUCUUGCGCAAUGGGCGAAAGCCUGACGCAGCCAUGCCGCGUGAAUGAUGAAGGUCUUAGGAUUGUAAAAUUCUUUCACCGGGGAAGAUAAUGACGGUACCCGGAGAAGAAGCCCCGGCUAACUUCGUGCCAGCAGCCGCGGUAAUACGAAGGGGGCUAGCGUUGCUCGGAAUUACUGGGCGUAAAGGGCGCGUAGGCGGACAGUUUAGUCAGAGGUGAAAGCCCAGGGCUCAACCUUGGAAUUGCCUUUGAUACUGGCUGUCUUGAGUUCGGGAGAGGUGAGUGGAAUGCCGAGUGUAGAGGUGAAAUUCGUAGAUAUUCGGCGGAACACCAGUGGCGAAGGCGACUCACUGGCCCGAUACUGACGCUGAGGCGCGAAAGCGUGGGGAGCAAACAGG